CCCUGUAUUAAUAUAUCCACUAAUUAUUUUGGCUACUAUAAUACUAUCGAAUUUUUUAUCGUUAGAUAUAUUUUUUGAUUAUUUUCAUUCAUUAAAUUAUAUUAUUCAACCAAUCAUAACCGUAAAAGAUCACUAUCAUUCUAAUCAGAGACCAUUAUCAUCCUUACUGCACAUCCUUUCAGAUGUAUAUAUAUAAGCAUAUAUACCAAGUUUGUAAAAUGGAUUUGGAUUAUCCUAUUUGAAACUUGGAUUGGGUUAAAACUAGAAAAUUAU
This 273-nucleotide long non-coding RNA is filed under the name Ananas comosus (pineapple). RNAcentral's name for it is "long non-coding RNA (ACOM_LNC002804)". The record is from RNAcentral. Lineage: Eukaryota; Viridiplantae; Streptophyta; Magnoliopsida; Poales; Bromeliaceae.